RNAcentral lists this ribosomal RNA (253 nucleotides) under uncultured bacterium. Its description in RNAcentral is "partial 16S ribosomal RNA". It matches the Rfam family "Bacterial small subunit ribosomal RNA", at positions 524 to 776 of the family's 1533-position model. The record is from RNAcentral.
UACAGAGGUCCCAAGCGUUGUUCGGAUUCAUUGGGCGUAAAGGGUGCGUAGGUGGCGCCGUAAGGCAGGGGUGAAAUUUCGGAGCUUAACUCCGAAACUGCAUUUGAUACUGCGGUGCUUGAGGACUGGAGAGGAGACUGGAAUUUACGGUGUAGCAGUGAAAUGCGUAGAGAUCGUAAGGAAGACCAGUGGCGAAGGCGGGUCUCUGGCCAGUUCCUGACACUGAGGCACGAAGGCCAGGGGAGCAAACGGG